RNAcentral lists this long non-coding RNA (2137 nucleotides) under Coffea arabica (coffee). Its description in RNAcentral is "long non-coding RNA (CARA_LNC007361)". The record is from RNAcentral. Lineage: Eukaryota; Viridiplantae; Streptophyta; Magnoliopsida; Gentianales; Rubiaceae.
AGCAAGAGAGAGAGAGAGAGCAAGAGAAAACAACUUCAAUUCAUCUUGAGUUUGAGCCAUUUGAGUGGAAAAAACAAGAUUAAAUCUUUCUUUGAGUACUUGGAAAGCUUGGUGUGCAAGAGGUUUACAAGAGGAGGUGGUGGAUAACUCUUAUAAGCAUCUUUGAGAGGUAUAUGGGCUGACCAUUACAUUUAUUUCUCUUAGUCUUGUCUAAGUUGAGUAGUAACUUGUAAUCUUGCUUGUGAUGCUUAAUUCAUGUGAUUUUGGAUGAUUGUAGUGAUGAAUUUUGAGUUAGGCUUUGAAUGGUUCACUUGAAAUUUCUAUUAUUUGGAUGGUAUAUGGUAUAUGCAAGCUUGUACAAGAGGUUGUGGUAGUGAUUUAAGCAAGAAAUGAAGAGAUUUCCCUUUGAAACCCUAAAUUCCAGAUUUCAGUUUUUCACUUCCCCUGUUCUGAUUGGUUUUGUUUGACUAGGUUGGAGGCCGAAUUAGGCUUAGCAUAAAACAUAAAAGUUGUAGAUAAUGAUGUUUUAUAGCUGCCUAUAAAAUUUCAGUUCAAUCCGAGCACUGUACCAUGUGAAAAGACAAAAAUACCCCUGACUGCCAUAGGUAGCACUUUAGGGACAGUUUUGACAUUUCACCAAUCUGACCUCGUCUGUUCACCCUGAUGCGUACUGACUUAGCGUUUGGUCAAAACAUAUAAGUUGUAGUGCUACGUCUUAGCUUUCCAACGCCCUUAAAAACGCCUCAAUCGGACUUCGGUAUCCUGAAUUAUUAUCGUUUAACCAUAGUGCGGUUCGCUAACCUGUUUGUGAGAUUCUGGUUUUGUACAUGAAAAUUUUGACCUAGCUACACUACGAACUGGACUGAGUAGUCUUCAUCAAAAUUGUAGGCCUUUGUCUUAGCUUCGAAACGGUAUGAAUUUCAUACCAAUCCGAUAAGCGUAGCUUAGGUUGUGUCUGUUCCGUAAAACAACGUCAAAUCUGUCUUUUGUUUCUUAAAUCAAACUUCAUUUCCGCACAUGUUCCUAACUUGGUUUGGUACUUGUAUGACGUUGAGUCUAUUGAACGGCUAUUGAAAUGAGAUUAUUUUGUGUGUGACUUUGGGACUAAUUGAGGAAAUGAAUGAAGUCAUAAAUGGCUGGAAAAUAAGUAAAUAUAAAGGGCGUGCUGCCCAAAUUUACGCUUGAAGACUAGGUAGAAACACUUGCGACUUGAGUAAGGCUUGAGAACGAAUACCACUUGAACCAUCUAAGAUAUUCGCGUCUUCUUUUAUCGAGGUAUAUAAGUUAGAACUUGACCGAACUUGUACCCUUGGGAAAAUGAAAUAACGACUACUAGAAAUACGUUUUCCUCAUUCUUUCAACUCAAAUGGUAUUUCCAAGUAUAAUUGCUACAAAAUGUCCCAGUUUGAAAAGCGAGUAAGUAUUUCACGAAUAUUCUCCAAACUAAUUUCAAUUACUUGAUUCUUAUUGAAUGAAACGUUGAAGUUUCGAACCUUAGUUGCUUUUCAAAGUUCUUAAACAAGGUUUUAUCGCAGAUUUGGACUCCAAACCCGAAGUACAACCCAAACGGGAUCACUGAGGCACUACAUUUUGGUGAGUGCUUCCAAAUAUCUAAUUGGACUUGACAUUUGUGUCCUAUAUUUGACCAAUAUGAUUAUAUGAUAUAGAUAUAAGUGAAUUGAUGGGGCAAUGGUGUACUUUAUCACAUUUGCCCUAAUGUUAUUUGUUCUCGUUCAUCAAUUGCAAUUGAAUUGCUAUACAUGCUUAUGAAUUGUAUCUUGCCUGGAAUUCCAGAAACCCUGUGACUAAUUUGUCGAGUCGAGCCGGCAAGGGUCUGGUCGAUUAGCUAACGAACCCUGGGUAGUUAGUGAUAUCGAGUGGAGUGUUAUCUUCUCGACUAAUCGGUAUACUCGAGUAUUACCACCAGUGUUUAUUGUGGAGUUCGGGCCCAGUAAGCGGUUUGAUCAGUGGACGGAUAAUGGAGUUAAGUGGUGUUCUACGGGACUAGUUUCUGACUUGAAAGUUGACAGAGUGUCAACUACCAAUCGAUCAAGCUAUGGUGGCGUCGAUAUAUGAGCAACUGUAUCCUUAUAUGUGAAAUGUGAAAAAUUUAGUGUUUGGCUAUAUGAAGUGUUGU